GUUUGAGAGUUGAAUUAACUUAAAAUAUAAUGCUUACAUCACUUUAUUUGUGUAGGCAUGGGCUAUUAAGUAUGCCAAUAGUCUACUUGGAAGGCACAGACCAUCAUUCAUCUAUUUCCAUCUCUUAUAUUGGAGCAAUGUCCUAUUCUCCUACAAGAUAAUCGAGAGGAUAGAGCCUAGGGAGGAGUUGCACUUUCUAUCACAAGGAAGGCCACAAGGGCUGGUAUUGAUAUGGGGUAGGUCUGUACAUAAUCUUAAUUUUUUAUAUUUUUUAUACUUUACCCUAGUUAGAUAACUCGCAUAUUAAUUUUCAUUUGACACAUACAUAUUAUGUGUCAGUACAUAGUAAUGAUAAUGAAUUUUUGUACACAUUAUGUAAUGAAUUUUUAAAUUUUGUAUACAGUUAAAGACAAUGAAUUUAACAAACACUUGUUCUAUUCA
Non-coding RNA from Elaeis guineensis (African oil palm), 441 nucleotides. Lineage: Eukaryota; Viridiplantae; Streptophyta; Magnoliopsida; Arecales; Arecaceae. The record is from RefSeq and is a predicted model, not a curated record.